UUACCGACGUGCUCAUCUGCGCAUAGCCUUGCCGGGCAGAAGCUACGAUCGGACUCAAUAUGCUGCACUCCCAUUUCUCCUCUGGCUUCACGCCAUUCUUUUGAGCCACUCUGGCGACCAGGUAGGUGUUGAUCCGUCUCUGGGCUGGCUUGAGCUCCAGAGAGCUCUUCAGCCUCUUGCCUGUCACGUUGCUCAAGUAUAUCGAGCUCCUCGGGUUCCAGUUUGCUCCUUUGAAUCGCUGUUAGCAGUGCUACUACCUCCUCCGCGGUCUCUUCGCUUACCAAGUUCCUGCGAGACACUACCUUUUACAACAAAGUCAAAGAAGCGCCACACAAAUACAGGAAUAUAGUUUGUACCUCUGGCCACUUCCGUGUGUAUCGUUUUGUAACAUCAUAAACUCCAUCUUUCGCAACGGCAAUGACGUAGUUCAGCUUCUUUCCCCAUCUUGACGCAAGUCCGGUGUUAGCGUGAGAAAAAGAAAUGUCACAUAGUACCCUUUCUCGUAAAGAAGCGGAGUAUCAUACGAGGCCUCACACGGAUCCAAGUGCACCCAUCUGCACAAGCACUUCAAGAGCUUUAUAAGAGGUCGGGAGAGCAUACCUUCCGAGAUAAGGAGAAUGGAACUCUGUCCAGACGUGAUCCGUGAAGUCAAGGACCUGCACAAAAGCAAGAGUUACAAGCAUGAACCAACAGAUUCUAUGACCACGGCGUUACCAGACGAGCAUUGUAGCCUAGCGCAACGCAGUAGAACGUAAAACAAUUGGCCCAUUCUCCACAGCGACCGCAUUGUGUCUCCAUGAGCUUCAUUUGACAAUAGAAAGUUCAUACUAUAAAUAAAAUCAGUGGCAGCAUUCAAGCGAGUGGAACCAGUCAACUUUACCUUCGCGGGACUGUUGUAGCGUGGAAAUCGAGUGACUGUUCCACAAAGCUCGCAACUGCAGGGUGAGGAGUUAAAACGUUUGUAGAUGCUCGAAACUUUCAGCUGGAAACACCUGUGAAUCUCUACACGGCUGGCUCCAAAUUGGAGAUCCUCGGCACUUGGUCCUCCCAUGCCUAUGUGAUGCGUGUUGGAUGCACAGAAAUCAAACGAGGUUGAAUUCACCCACCUGCAAAUCCAGAGCUCUUUCAGAAAAAAAGAAAUUUGGGAAAGAAGAGCCAGCAAACGAACUAACUUGAAAGAUGUCUUGAACCAGUGGAGCAACUGCCGCUUGUUUCUUCCUCUUCCUUGAUUUUCUUUGUUCUUCUCAAGGAAGGAAGAUCCAGCCAACCAAAGAAGAAGAGAACCAUUUUUUUCUCCCUCGAGCUCGCUCAUCCCGACGUCCUGGGAGUUCACGAGCUCCACAUAUGGUCCGUGACCACCGGCAAAGUUUUGCUGUCGUGCCAUGUCGCUGUGAAGCACGAUGCCGAUGGCGACUUGGUUCUCCAGAGAGUGGUCGAGUACUGCGACCGGGAGCUCAAGAUAAGUCAUGUCACGGUGCAAAUUGAGAGAAUGGAUGUGGAUCAUGUGUAGAGAAAUCUCCUUUUUUUCGCUUUUUCUUAAGCGAUAUGACACAGAGUUGGGGAGUAAGAAAUGCAAGACUACUAAGUAGCCAAGAUUUAUAUGAUGUUAAUUAAAUUGUGCUGGGUACAAAACCCUCUUUAGAAUAGCAUUUUAUAUUAAUCUUGACGGUUGUACUAGCAUAUUCUUGAAACCAUUGCGCUAAACAAAACAUAUAAUAAUUUUUACCGAACAUGGCCAUACCAUACAUGGCUAUUCCAUACAAGGAAAUCUAUUCCUAAUUAUAAAACCGGAGAAUACCACAAUCGUAAAAGUAAGAUAGAAGUUCUAGUUGAGAGAUGGAAGCAUUCAGGGUUCUUGUCAUUGUUUUGGUUGCAUGCAUCUCGAUAUCCCAAGCUGCUAGCACGAAUCCUCCUGUACAAGGCCUGUUUGUUUUUGGGGACUCAGCGUUAGAUGGAGGACAGAACACGUACAUCCCGGGCUCCAAGAUUGUUAGCGCAAUUCCGCCGUAUGGAAAGACUUACUUCAGCAAGCCAACAGGGCGUUGGACGGAUGGUAGAACGAUUGCUGAUUUCCUGGCUCAAGCACUAGGCCUUCCAUUGUUGCCACCUUUUCUCGAGCCUGGUGCCAACUUUUCCAAUGGGGUGAACUUUGCAUCUGCUGGUGCAGGCUUGUUAGAUGAAACGAAUGCCCAUCAAGUACGUAUACUCCCAUAUUCCCCUCAGAAAUAGUUGAUUUUGAUUCAUUCUUUUUGGGUUUUAUCAGGGAGUUAUUUCAAUGAAGCAGCAGCUGCGCCAGUUUCGCAACGUCACAAAUGAGUACAAAAAAGAGAAGGGUGUGGAGUUUACGAACCAGCUCUUGCGCAAUUCAGUGGCAUUGUUUAGCAUGGGAGCUAAUGAUAUUGCUAAUGCUGUUCCCAGCUCAUUCUUGUUCCAGGAGAUGAUACAAACAUAUUCAAGUGCUAUUCAGGUACUCGAGUAUUACAUUCACUAACUUCAAAACCUUUGGAUGUCUCUUUUGAUUUAUAGGAAAUUUACAAUUAUGGCAUUAAGCAUAUCAUAAUUCUGCUAGCACCACCGAUUGGGUGUACUCCUAACUUGAGAGCGGUAUCAGCACAAAGCAGGAAUACCAAUUUAACUCCAGAGGGCUGCAUAGGAAUCAUUAACACUCUUGUGGAUUCAUAUAACACUAAACUCUUGAAUCUUGCUGUGAAGUUACACAAUGACUAUCGUGACUUGAACAUUGCAACAUUAAAUCCAUCUCCAAUUAUACUGAACGUGCUAAGGAAUCCUCAGAAAUACGGUAAGAAACACAAAUUAUCUCUCCAUUCAUAUUCAUAUUAAUAUUUGUGUGUGUCCGUCUAGGUUUCAAAGAAGCAGAAAAGGCAUGUUGUGGUGGUGGGCCAUUUAAUGCAGCAGAAUUUUGUGGGGACGCUGAUAAACAUGAUUGGAAGCCAGAUCACAAAAAUAAAUACACUAAGUUCAUCUGCAACAAUCCUAAAGAUUACUUAUACUUUGAUAGCAACCAUUUCACUGAAGCUGGUUAUUGGUUUGUGAUGAAGAAUUUUUGGCAUGGAUCUUACAAUAUUGCAAGACCUAGCAACCUCAACUUCUUUUUUCAGGGGUUUAACAUUCCAAACCCACCCCCAACGCCUUAAAAGUUUGUAUUUUAUUUCAUAUAAAACAUUUCUUCUAGACCACAUGUAUCAAUGUUAUUAAUGUUUUCUAGAUUAGUGUUUUCUAGGCCUUAACAUGAUCAUGCAGUGGAAGGUUGAAAGGAUUUUUAAACCAAUCUUUUAGAUUAAGAAAAAGAACAAAGCUGAGGCACUGGAUUAAGGUUAGUCCGACGGGGCUUUGAAUCCCACUCUCAACACUAGUUCGUGAUGAUAAAUAGUUUUGAUCGUCAAAGUCUACGUUUUUUGUAGGCAAUGGUAGGUAAAACAAAUGCUGUUGUUAAUUGUGAAUGUAAAAGCCUAUGGAGGAAAGCUGGAGCCUCGACGUUUUUACGUCUCUCUUACGGCUGCGAAUUGGAGCCUGCGUCAAUGAGAGAAUUUGAGGGUAAACACGCAUGAAACCUGGUUUUACCUUAGAACGCUGCAAGGAAACUGGGACUCUUUGGCAACUAUAAAGCAUCGUCUCUCGUAGCGCUCUUGAAAUAGCUCUCCACUUCGCUUGUCAAGGAGUUGCCAGGUCUUACCCCCCAUCGCAGCUUCCCUCGAGCAUCCUGGAAAAGCAAUCAAAAGGAAAAACUCUGAUCCAUAACAAUGGCAAUUGAUUAACAUUACCAGUCCAAAGGAUCUCUCUUGGGGCAGUCGUUUGCGGAUGUUAAGUCGUAUCCAACAAUGUGUUGAGACGUGUUACCAUGCAAAUGGUAAACAAGAGUUGCGCCUACAAGCACACCUGUUUCAAUUCUAGAUACGAAAAAAAUAAAAAACUUCGCCAACCUUUUGCUCCUUCUGGUUCUUCCCAUUUUGUGGAGUAGUGGCCGUCAAAAGCUGUGCUAGCCUGCAAACGAUAAACUUCAUUUUAAGUGAAGGAAAGAACCAAGGGAAACGAGAAAACAUACUGUUCUAGAGGGCAUCUAUUUGCCAGUGGCAUAAACUUUUAUUGUUUUGGAGUUUGCAUUUUUCCCGUGAUCCUAACUAUAGUUAUUUACCACAACUACAUUAGCUCGUUUGUUACAUCAAACACUCAUCUGGAUCACAUCCUCAACUCUCUGAGGAAACCCUCCACUCCAAAGCCUCCUUCCUUGUAACAUCAGCUGCAGCGAACUCAUGUCCUGGGAUGCGAGCUUCUUCGCGACUUUCUCGACGUUCUCAAGAGCUGUGGCAAGAGCCAGAGCAGCCUUUCCUGGAGGUUCCUUGAGAGUAACUUGCAUUCCCCCACUUCCAUCGCUCGCUUGCUUCAUUCCAAUGCCAUCCAGCCAUGCCGCACUGCCUUUGCUUUGCAGGAAGUUCAGCUGAGUUUCGUCUGUGGAUUCCAUCUUUGCACUUCUCGCUCUGAAUGACUGCCUCUUAAGCUUGAUCAAUAAGUCGUGGAGAAGUGCCAGCUCUUUUUCUGCCGCACUUCUUUCUUGAGAGCAUAACAGCCCGAUUGCUUGGUAGAUUUUACCGACGUGCUCAUCUGCGCAUAGCCUUGCCGAGCAGAAGCUACGAUCGGACUCAAUAUGCUGGACUCCCAUUUCUCCUCUGGCUUCACGCCAUUCUUUUGACCCACUCUGGCGACCAGGUAGGUGUUGAUCCGUCUCUGGGCUGGCUUGAGCUCCAGAGAGCUCUUCAGCCUCUUGCCUGUCACGUUGCUCAAGUAUAUCGAGCUCCUCAGGUUCCAGUUUGCUCCUUUGAAUCGCUGUUAGCAGUGCUACUACCUCCUCCGCGGUCUCUUCGCUUACCAAGUUCCUGCGAGACACUACCUUUU
This 4911-nucleotide long non-coding RNA is filed under the name Selaginella moellendorffii. Its description in RNAcentral is "long non-coding RNA (SMOE_LNC000035)". The record is from RNAcentral. Lineage: Eukaryota; Viridiplantae; Streptophyta; Lycopodiopsida; Selaginellales; Selaginellaceae.